Molecule: non-coding RNA, 109 nt
Organism: Nicotiana sylvestris (wood tobacco)
Lineage: Eukaryota; Viridiplantae; Streptophyta; Magnoliopsida; Solanales; Solanaceae
Source: Rfam
CUAUGCAGCUGACUUGUAAAUGUUCUUCGAGUAUCUUCAUUCUUCCUUAAUCCUAAUGAAGUUUUAGAGGCGAAGAUACUCGAAAAACAUUUACUUGUUAUUUGUAUAG